Molecule: ribosomal RNA, 397 nt
Filed under: uncultured bacterium
Lineage: Bacteria
Description: bacterial SSU rRNA
Rfam family: Bacterial small subunit ribosomal RNA
Source: RNAcentral
GUGUCAGCCGCCGCGGUAAUACGUAGGGGGCGAGCGUUGUCCGGAUUCAUUGGGCGUAAAGAGCUCGUAGGCGGUUCGCUAAGUCAGGUGUGAAAUCUCCGCGCUCAACGCGGAGGGGCCACCUGAUACUGGCGUGACUCGAGUCCGGUAGGGGAGUGUGGAAUUCCCGGUGUAGCGGUGAAAUGCGCAGAUAUCGGGAGGAACACCAGUGGCGAAGGCGGCACUCUGGGCCGGAACUGACGCUGAGGAGCGAAAGCGUGGGUAGCAAACAGGAUUAGAUACCCUGGUAGUCCACGCCGUAAACGUUGGGCACUAGGUGUGGGACUCUAUCGACGGGUUCCGUGCCGUAGCUAACGCAUUAAGUGCCCCGCCUGGGGAGUACGGCCGCAAGGCUAAA